UACUAGAGUAGCACUCGCAUAUCAAUAAGCGGAGGAAAAGAAACUAACAAGGAUUCCCCUAGUAACGGCGAGUGAAGCGGGAAGAGCUCAAAUUUGAAAUCUUAAAGGGUUUCCCUUUACGAAUUGUAGUUUAAAGAAGUGUUUUCUGUUGAGGUUUUGGUAAAAGUUCCUUGGAAUAGGACAUCAUAGAGGGUGAGAAUCCCGUAUUUGACCUUUACUUUCAACUUUGUGAUACACUUUCAAAGAGUCGGAUUGUUUGGGAAUGCAGUCCAAAAUGGGUGGUAAAUUUCAUCUAAAGCUAAAUAUUGGCGAGAGACCGAUAGCGAACAAGGUACCGUGAGGGAAAGAUGAAAAGGACUUUGAAAAGAGAGUUAAACAGUACGUGAAAUUGUCAAAAGGGAAGCGUUUGACACCAGUGUUGUUUUUCUGAAAAUCAAUUAAAGAACUGUUUAUGCUAAGUUGUUUAGACUUUAUCAGCUAUCUGUUUAGUUUUGAGCUUUUCUUUAAUGCACUUUUCAGUUAACAAGUCAACAUCGAUUUCUUUUGCUGUAAAAAAGCUUGAGGAAGGUGGCUUGAGAUUCGUCUUAAGUGUUUAUAGCCUCUUGCCUAUGCAGUCGGAGAGAUUGAGGUCUGCAGCGUAGAUCCUUCGGGGCUAAAUGCAUUUGUGCUAAGUUAUAGCAUUUUAUAGACAACUUGUUGACUAUGAUUUGUCUUGUAGCUUACUCGCUUAUGUUAUUUUACCUACGCUUAGGAUGUUGAUCUCUCACAGUCGAGC
RNAcentral lists this ribosomal RNA (775 nucleotides) under uncultured Neocallimastigales. RNAcentral describes it as "partial large subunit ribosomal RNA". It matches the Rfam family "Eukaryotic large subunit ribosomal RNA", at positions 20 to 645 of the family's 3401-position model. The record is from RNAcentral. Lineage: Eukaryota; Fungi; Neocallimastigomycota; Neocallimastigomycetes; Neocallimastigales.